RNAcentral lists this non-coding RNA (776 nucleotides) under Protogoniomorpha parhassus. The record is from RNAcentral. Lineage: Eukaryota; Metazoa; Arthropoda; Insecta; Lepidoptera; Nymphalidae.
AUAAAAUAAUUAUGUUUUUGAUAAUUUAUUAUAAAUUUAUUUUACAUAUAAAUUUUAGUAUAUAAUUUUAAUUAUUUAAAUAAUAAUUAAUUUAAUUUAUUUAUAGUAAUUAAUAUUAAAAAUUUAAGAAAUUAAGAUUUAGUAAUAUAAAAAUUAAUAACUAAUUUUGUGCCAGCAGUUGCGGUUAAACAAAAGUUAAAUUAAAUUAUUUCAGUUUAUAAUAAAUAAAAUAAUUAUUAAAAUAAAUAUUAAAUUAUUAAGUGAAAUUUUAAUUUAAUUAAAUUUUAUAAUUAAAUUAUGAUUUAAUAAAUUUUAAUAUAAACUAGGAUUAGAUACCCUAUUAUUAAAAAUUUAAUUUAUAAUGCUAAAAUAGUAUAUAAUAAUUUAUUGAAACUUAAAUAAUAUGGCGGUAUUUUAGUUCAUUUAGAGGAAUCUGUCUAAUAAUUGAUAAUCCACGAAUAAAUUUACUUAAUUUAUAAUUUUGUAUAUCAUUGUUAAAAAAAUAUUUUUUAGUAAAAAUAAUAUUUAAAAUUUAAAAUUUUAAGUUAAAUCAGAUCAAGAUGCAGAAUAUAAUUAAGAAUAUGAUGGAUUACAUUAAAAAUAUUUAAAUGAAUAAUUUAUUGUAAAAUAAAUUUGAAGGUGGAUUUAAAUGUAAUUUUAAUUAAUUUAUUAAAAUGAUUAUAAAUUAAAAUAUGUACAUAUUGCCCGUCACUUUCAUUUAAAAGUUGAAAUAAGUCGUAACAAAGUAGAGGUACUGGAAAGUGUUUCUAGAAAGA